GACUCCUACGGGAGGCAGCAGUGGGGAAUAUUGGACAAUGGGCGAAAGCCUGAUCCAGCAAUGCCGCGUGAGUGAUGAAGGCCUUAGGGUUGUAAAGCUCUUUUACCCGGGAUGAUAAUGACCGUACCGGGAGAAUAAGCUCCGGCUAACUCCGUGCCAGCAGCCGCGGUAAUACGGAGGGAGCUAGCGUUGUUCGGAAUUACUGGGCGUAAAGCGCACGUAGGCGGCUUUGUAAGUCAGAGGUGAAAGCCUGGAGCUCAACUCCAGUACUGCCUUUGAGACUGCAUCGCUUGAAUCCAGGAGAGGUGAGUGGAAUUCCGAGUGUAGAGGUGAAAUUCGUAGAUAUUCGGAAGAACACCAGUGGCGAAGGCGGCUCACUGGACUGGUAUUGACGCUGAAGUGCGAAAGCGUGGGGAGCAAACAGGAUUAGAUACCCUGGUAGUCCACGCCGUAAACGAUGAUAACUAGCUGUCGGGGCUCUUAGAGUUUCGGUGGCGCAGCUAACGCAUUAAGUUAUCCGCCUGGGGAGU
RNAcentral lists this ribosomal RNA (530 nucleotides) under uncultured Citrobacter sp. RNAcentral describes it as "bacterial SSU rRNA". It matches the Rfam family "Bacterial small subunit ribosomal RNA", at positions 334 to 881 of the family's 1533-position model. Lineage: Bacteria; Pseudomonadati; Pseudomonadota; Gammaproteobacteria; Enterobacterales; Enterobacteriaceae. The record is from RNAcentral.